This is a non-coding RNA of Clupea harengus (Atlantic herring), 547 nucleotides long. The record is from the annotation of a RefSeq genome assembly. NCBI's taxonomy places the organism in Eukaryota, Metazoa, Chordata, Actinopteri, Clupeiformes, Clupeidae.
UACCCUGCCAACUCCCCCCACCCCCCAUUUCCAGAGAGAAGUGUCCCCUGAGGAAGUGUGUGUGACUGGGCCAUGUUUGCAUAUCUGCCCUGCCUUACUGCUCCAUCUACUUUAAGAGCCCUAGUGUUAACUAAAGGACUUCAGCGCUGUUAGGGCCACUGAGAAGAAAGAUUCAAAGAUGCUUUCACCUGUUUUAAUGCUAGUAGCAAUGGGACUCCUUGCACAAGGGUCCUCAGCUGAUAAAAUUCUGACUCAGUCUCCCUCAUCAAAGUCUGUUCAGUCUGGAGAAACUGUCUCUAUCAGCUGCACAGCCAGUGAGAGUGUUGGCAACGCUCUGAACUGGUACUCCCAGAAACCUGGAGAAGCUCCUAAACUCCUGAUCUAUGAUGCAUCAAAUCGUCAGUCUGGUGUUCCAGGUCGUUUCAGUGGGAGUGGGAGUGGGUCUACUUUUACACAGUACACUCUGACCAUCAGCAGAGUCCAGCCUGAAGAUGCUGCAGAUUAUUACUGUGGUCAGAGCACUUGGGCUCCAUUCACACAGUGUUAG